This 249-nucleotide long non-coding RNA is filed under the name Panax ginseng (ginseng). Its description in RNAcentral is "long non-coding RNA (PGIN_LNC000726)". The record is from RNAcentral. Lineage: Eukaryota; Viridiplantae; Streptophyta; Magnoliopsida; Apiales; Araliaceae.
UAAAAUUCAAGAAUGCUCAGAAGAAUAUUUCCAUGAAAAGAUACUGGAUGAAGCGCAAAUAUCAAGGAUAUUCCACUAAUUUCAUGGAGUAUAGAAGUCAAAGCUUUAACCAACUGAGUAUAACAGAAUAUAUGAAACUGCAAAUGGAUUUUCGCUCGCUAUGCGGUAAUCCACGUAGACAGAUCAUUUCCACAAUUUAAUAAGAAAUGAAUACGAAGGGUCAUUCACCAUGCAUGUGGUAAUCCACAC